UGAUGACGAGACGCUAAGGCGUUGAAGCAGUGCAUGUCAGACUUCCAAGAAAAGCUCGCAAUGUCACAAAUAUAAAAUGCCUGUACCAUAACCGACACAGGUGGGUAGGUAGAGUAUACUAAGGGGCGCGAGAUAACUCUCUCUAAGGAACUCGGCAAAAUGACUCCGUAACUUCGGGAGAAGGAGUGCCUUAUUUAUAAGGUUGCAAUAACAAGAUCCAAGCAACUGUUUAUCAAAAACACAGGUCUCCGCUAAGUCGUAAGACGAUGUAUGGGGCUGACGCCUGCCCAGUGCCAGAAGGUUAAAGAAGUUGGUUAGUGUAUGCGAAGCUGAUGACUGAAGCCCUGGUGAACGGCGGCCGUAACGAUAACGGUCCUAAGGUAGCGAAAUUCCUUGUCGGGUAAGUUCCGACCCGCACGAAAGGCGUAAUGAUUUGGAUACUGUCUCGGAGAGAGGCUCGGUGAAAUAGACUUGUCUGUGAAGAUGCGGACUACCUGCACCAGGACAGAAAGACCCUAUGAAGCUUUACUGUAACUUGAAAUUGGAAUUGGACUUUGCUUGCGCAGUAUAGGUGGGAAGCGUUGAAAAUAUUCUUGCGGGAGUAUUGGAGCUAUCAGUGAGAUACCACUCUUGUAAUGUUAGAUUUCUAACUUUGAACCAUAAUCUGGUCAAAGAACAGUUUCAGGUGGGCAGUUUGACUGGGGCGGUCGCCUCCCAAAUGGUAACGGAGGCGUACAAAGGUUUCCUCUGAACGGAUAGAAAUCGUAUCUAGAGUGUAAAGGCAUAAGGAAGCUUGACUGUGAGACCUACAAGUCGAGCAGGGACGAAAGUCGGUCUUAGUGAUCUGACGGUACUGAGUGGAAAGGCCGUCACUCAACGGAUAAAAGUUACUCUAGGAUAACAGGCUGAUCUCCCCCAAGAGUUCACAUCGACGGGGAGGUUUGGCACCUCGAUGUCGGCUCAUCGCAUCCUGGGGCGGUAGUACGUCCCAAGGGUUGGGCUGUUCGCCCAUGAAAGCGGUACGCGAGCUGGGUUCAGAACGUCGUGAGACAGUUCGGUCCAUAUCCGGUGUAGGCGCUAGAAUAUUGAGAGGAGCCUUCUUUAGUACGAGAGGACCGAGAAGGACACACCGCUGGUGUACCAGUUAUCGUGCCAACGGUAAACGCUGGGUAGCUAUGUGUGGAGUGGAUAACCGCUGAAAGCAUCUAAGUGGGAAGCCCACCUCGAGAUGAGUA
This 1235-nucleotide ribosomal RNA is filed under the name metagenome. RNAcentral's name for it is "bacterial LSU rRNA". It matches the Rfam family "Bacterial large subunit ribosomal RNA", at positions 1564 to 2810 of the family's 2925-position model. The record is from RNAcentral.